This 292-nucleotide ribosomal RNA is filed under the name uncultured bacterium. RNAcentral describes it as "partial 16S ribosomal RNA". It matches the Rfam family "Bacterial small subunit ribosomal RNA", at positions 505 to 796 of the family's 1533-position model. The record is from RNAcentral.
GUGUCAGCAGCCGCGGUAAGACGAACCGUGCGAACGUUGUUCGGAAUCACUGGGCUUAAAGGGCGCGUAGGCGGGCCGUCUGGUCCGGGGUGAAAUCGUUCGGCUCAACCGAACCAUUGCCUGGGAUACCGGCGGUCUGGAGGGGGGUAGGGGCGGAUGGAACUCCGGGUGGAGCGGUGAAAUGUGUUGAUAUCCGGAGGAACGCCGGUGGCGAAAGCGAUCCGCUGGACCCCACCUGACGCUGAGGCGCGAAAGCCAGGGGAGCGAACGGGAUUAGAAACCCUAGUAGUCC